Molecule: ribosomal RNA, 466 nt
Filed under: uncultured bacterium
Lineage: Bacteria
Description: partial 16S ribosomal RNA
Rfam family: Bacterial small subunit ribosomal RNA
Source: RNAcentral
GAUGAACGCUGGCGGCGUGCUUAACACAUGCAAGUCGAACGGAAAGGCUCCUGCUUGCAGGGGUACUCGAGUGGCGAACGGGUGAGUAACACGUGGGUGAUCUGCCCUGCACUUCGGGAUAAGCCUGGGAAACUGGGUCUAAUACCGGAUAGGACGAUGGUUUGGAUGCCAUUGUGGAAAGUUUUUCGGUGUGGGAUGAGCUCGCGGCCUAUCAGCUUGUUGGUGGGGUAAUGGCCUACCAAGGCGUCGACGGGUAGCCGGCCUGCGGGGGUGUACGGCCACAUUGGGACUGAGAAGCGGCCCAGACACCUGCGGGAGGCAGCAGUGGGGAAUAGUGCACAAUGGGCGCAAGCCUGAUGCAGCGAAGCCGCGUGGGGGAUGACGGCCUUCGGGUUGUAAACUCCUUUCGCUAGGGACGAAGCGUUUUGUGACGGUACCUGGAGAAGAAGCACCGGCUAACUACGUG